This 287-nucleotide signal recognition particle RNA is filed under the name Phascolarctos cinereus (koala). RNAcentral describes it as "Metazoan signal recognition particle RNA (ENSPCIG00000021059.2)". It matches the Rfam family "Metazoan signal recognition particle RNA". From Rfam's summary of the family: The signal recognition particle (SRP) is a universally conserved ribonucleoprotein. It is involved in the co-translational targeting of proteins to membranes. The record is from RNAcentral. Lineage: Eukaryota; Metazoa; Chordata; Mammalia; Diprotodontia; Phascolarctidae.
GCCAGGCAUGGUGGCAUAUGUCUGUAAUCUCUGCUGCCAGGGAGGCUGAAGGUGGUAGAUCUCUUGGGAUUGUAAAUUCUCAGCUGCAGGUGGCUAUGAAGAUUGAGUGUCCACCCUCAAUUCAGCAUUAAUAUGGCAGAGCCCCUAGGGGUAGGGGGCUGCCUGGUUACCUAAGGAGGGGCAAAUCAGCCCAAGUUGGAAACAGGGCAUGUCACAGCUCCCGUGCUGAUUAAUAGUGGGAUUUGGACUAGGGGUAACUUCAGACUGGGAAAAAAAAAUAAGGGUAA